UGCAGUAAGGAGAAAUAAAGGUUGAGUGAUAUGAUAUGCUAAAACAGAUUAAAUAAAAGGRCUAGGUGUAAUAGGGAAGAAAAAAUAAGAGGGCAUGUGACAAAGGAAAAUGAUAAUACAGAGAAAAAAUAAUUAAUCUGAUGAAGAUAGAUACAAAGGUAGUUCAGUGCUAAAAGAAUAUAAGAAAAGAGUGAAAGGUAGGUUGGACAUUUCCUUCUGGAGACAAAGAGACUUCUGUAAAUAUGGCACAAGAGGAACUGUGAGACAAAUGAAAUGCAUUGAGUUUGUGAGGAAGCAUGAUGGAAAAAAAGAUUUUUGAGGUGGAACAGCAGAGUGACCAGUUCCUUUCAUCUCUGUCAUGAUCAUCGCUCAAAGCCUGUGCAGAAG
RNAcentral lists this long non-coding RNA (387 nucleotides) under Dromaius novaehollandiae (emu). RNAcentral describes it as "lncRNA (ENSDNVG00000011804.1)". The record is from RNAcentral. Lineage: Eukaryota; Metazoa; Chordata; Aves; Casuariiformes; Dromaiidae.